AAGAAAUCAAAAUGGCUGAAGAUAAAGAGACAAAGCAUGGAGGACACAAGAAUGGGAGGAAAGGCGGACUCUCAGGAACUUCAUUCUUCACGUGGUUUAUGGUGAUUGCAUUGCUGGGCGUCUGGACAUCUGUAGCUGUCGUUUGGUUUGAUCUUGUUGACUAUGAGGAAGUUCUAGGUAAGAAUUUUGAUAUCCUUAUGUGAAUUUGUAAGAGAGUAAGUGACAUCUCUUAGGAGUCUUGAAUAUUUGUUAUCAUCUUUCUGGUACUGGUAAUUUCUAUAGCCUUUCAGUGGUUCUCAAUAGAGUGAGGCUGAAAGGGGAUAUGAAGAAGGUUACCUUGGAGUAUUGUCUUUUGAACUCUUUAAAUGUGACCUGUAGGUUUUUGAAAAAAGGCUUUAUAUUGUAUGUCUGUCACACAGGGAGAAGUUUUAUCAAACAGUACUCAUUCUCACUAUAUGCAGUACUUUUUGAUUUCUAUUCAAUUUUGUUAUAUUAUAAAUUUUAAAAAUACUUGAUCAUGAGCCAUUACAUUUAUUUAAGGACUUGCUAAUGGAUCAUAACCACACAAUAUGCAAAACUCUUCCUUAGAGAGGGUUUUCAAAGUACACCCUUCUGUGUCUCUGUUGGGAUGGGAUGAGUACGUGUGCACACAUAUAGGUACUG
Molecule: long non-coding RNA, 663 nt
Filed under: Homo sapiens (human)
Lineage: Eukaryota; Metazoa; Chordata; Mammalia; Primates; Hominidae
Description: non-protein coding lnc-GGH-4:2
Source: RNAcentral